GCCCCUGUAGCUCAGAGGAUAGAGCACCAGCCUCCGGAGCUGGUAGCGCGGGUUCGAGUCCCGCCAGGGGUA
RNAcentral lists this transfer RNA (72 nucleotides) under Dehalococcoidia bacterium. RNAcentral describes it as "tRNA-Arg". It matches the Rfam family "tRNA". Rfam says of the family: Transfer RNA (tRNA) molecules are approximately 80 nucleotides in length. Their secondary structure includes four short double-helical elements and three loops (D, anti-codon, and T loops). Further hydrogen bonds mediate the characteristic L-shaped molecular structure. tRNAs have two regions of fundamental functional importance: the anti-codon, which is responsible for specific mRNA codon recognition, and the 3' end, to which the tRNAs corresponding amino acid is attached (by aminoacyl-tRNA synthetases). tRNAs cope with the degeneracy of the genetic code in two manners: having more than one tRNA (with a specific anti-codon) for a particular amino acid; and 'wobble' base-pairing, i.e. permitting non-standard base-pairing at the 3rd anti-codon position. Lineage: Bacteria; Bacillati; Chloroflexota; Dehalococcoidia. The record is from RNAcentral.